Molecule: ribosomal RNA, 117 nt
Filed under: Lepisosteus oculatus (spotted gar)
Lineage: Eukaryota; Metazoa; Chordata; Actinopteri; Semionotiformes; Lepisosteidae
Source: RNAcentral
GCCAGCAGCCAUAUCACCCUGCAACUCACAACUGGCAGCCCACUGAAGCUAAGCAGGUGUGAGCCUGGUCAGUACCUGGAGGAGAGGCUCCUGGGAAAGCUAAGGCUGCUGCUGGAA